CAAAUUCCCACAUGGCAUCUGGGAAUCAAAGAAUCUUUACCCUAUAAAAACAAAAUCAGGGCCAUAGCGCCAGAGACACAGAGAGAGAGUGGAGACCCACAGACCACGGCCGGCACUGCAGGUAGUGGUGGCUUCAGAAGUUGGUGGCUUUUGCACUUCCUGGGAGCCCUGAAGGAAAAGCCCAGACUCGGUGUCCGAAAAGCCCUUUGCUGCUCACUGUGUGGCUACAGGUAGCUCUGGGGAGCCCAGUGGGGGCGGGUGGGCACAGGUUGGGCAGAUGAGGAGGAGAAGCAGAGGGAGGCCCAGCAUUGCCCAGUCCGGACUUUGUCCCACGGGGAGGGCUCAGGCUGGGAUUUUGGGGUGUAAGGACUCUAGCCACCCCGAGGACCAUGGGGGUGUCACAUGGACAUCUGCAUUGGGGGCCUGGCUAGGGAGCCCACAGAGUCCAGGAAAGCCCAUGGUUAGAUGGUAAUUCUGGACCAAGGAGCCCAUUGCUCUUGGGGUUCAGCUCAGGGCCUUUGCAUCUGCCAUUGCCUCUGCCGGGCAAAACUCUUCCCUGCUUAGCACAUGGAUGCAAAACCUCGCUGGCCUCUCAGCCUCUUGCUUCUUUUUUUUCCUGUUGCUCCUGUCACUUAUUUCUGUUUCUUAUCUGUUUCUUCCAACUAAUAUACAAGGGAUCUUGAAUGUCGUUUCACUGCCACCGCCCCAGGGCCUGAAAAGAAACUAUCACGCAAAGGAAAUAAAUAGAUGCGUGAAUCAUCAAUGAGCGGACAACAACCUGGGGCUGCUGAGUACCGUCCGUCGGGGUGUGGACUGCACAACUCUGGAGGUCACCAUUCUGAAGGACGGUGCUCCAAGAGCAGGCCACCGUGUAUGGCCCCACUGCACACAGCAGUCCUGGGCUCCUCUGUAACCCCACCAUGCUUGCCCCCUGCACGGCUGUGCUGGCUCUGCUUUCUACUUCCAGACUUGUCCCCCCCCCCCCCCCCCUCCAUUUGCACUGAGUUUUCCACUUCUGAUGCCCAAGAGUGAGUCCAGUCCAUCUGGCUGUCUGCUUUAGGCUGGGUCACGGGGGCUCUGGUCAGCUUGCAAUGGUGGCAGCCAUGUGACCGCCUUUCACCUGCCUGUUUCUGGCUGGGGAGGGACGGCAAGGUUGCCUGUGGUGGCUGCCCACCUACUUCCUUCCUGGGCCCCUGCAGACCCUGAGAAAUGCUCUCAUUUCACUCCCACACCUCCCCAAGAAGGUGGCACCGAUUAUACCCACUUCACAGGUGAACUGUCUGAAGUUGUCAGGGUGACUGAGUUCAAAUGUGACUUCUCGCUCUCUGCUCGUGUAACCCUAGGCAGACUGCGUAAUCUCGCCGAGCCUCAGUUUCCUCAUCUGUAAAAUGCACAUAACAAUAAUCCCUCUUUUGAAAGAGGCGUGUGGAUCAAGUGAGGCGAUACAGGUAGCAACGGCUGUCGGCUGUCGGUGCAACGUCUGUGAGCACAUGCUCCUCUUCUCUGGCCCAGAAGUGCUGGUGCCUGGUGUGCAGAGAGCUGGGGUGUGGGCGCAUGCUGUGCACCCCUAGUUUGUGUCCCUGGGGCUCAGCUAUCAUGUGAGCAGAGAGGGAGGAAAGAAAGCAGCCACGCCUGUGUUCCAAGCAAGUGUUCUUGUAAGUCUGCAGCCAACUGCCAAAGCCCUGUGGCCACCUGAUCACCCUGAGCCAUGGGGUUCUAAGAUGAGCCCCACCCUCAGAGUGGGGACUCGGGGUGGGGGGACAGCUGCCAUCACACAGUGGUAGCAGAGUUCGGGGGACGAUCCCACCCCUGAUUUCGAGUCAGGCGUUGCUCCAGACGAACCCUACUUGCUCUUGGAGAGUUCAUUCAUGCGUUCACAACAUACACGGCACUGUUUUGGAAUCUUUUCACAGCAAGGAACAAAUCAGAACAAAAUCUGUACCCACAUCUUAGUGGAGGAAGAGAGACAAUAAAAAAUUAAACAUGUAAGUACACAUUAUGAGUGGUGGUAAACACAGAAAAUGGGGAUUGUUCCUGACAGGGUGAAGGGAAGGUAUCAAUCAUGAAAUUAUAUUUGAGCAGAGCCCCAGAGGAGGUGAAAGGGGACAUAGAUAUUGGGAGACAAGCUUCCUAAGCAGAUGGAUCAGCAAGUGCAAAGGCCCUGGUGUGGGCAUUAUGCUAUAAGACAGAAUUGAGGACACAGCUGAUGUUUCUUAGUGUAGCAUUCCAGAUGGAGUAUAGGAUGCCUGGUUAUGCUGGAAUCACAGUUAAACAAUGGCCAAUUCUAAUAUAAGGAUGUCCCAUACAAUUUGGGACAUAUUUAUACUAAAAAAAUUUAUUCAUUGUUUAAUUGAAAUUAAAAUUUAACUGUGUUAUAUUUUUAUUUGCUAUAUCUGGUGAAUCUCUUCAGUGGUCAGUCAUCGUGUAAGGCACAGAAAUAAAGAUCUUGGUGCUUCUACAAGGGGCCCUGGCUGGAAGACACAGGGAGUCAGCACAGGGGGGCCUGGCAGUGGAUGCUGGUCUUGCUGUUUGGGACCGUGGGCCUUGGCUGAGCCCUCCGCCUUAUGAGCCUUCCUAACUCAGCUGGAGGUGGGAGACGCAGUAUCUGAUUCCGGGGGCAGUAGGAAGAUCAGAGAUGAGCUUCAGGCAGCACGCCUUUAAUCCCAGCUCCUUGGGAGGCUGAGACAAGGUCACAAGUUUGAGUUCAGCCUGGGCAUCAUGGAGAGGCCUGGUCUCCAAAUGAAAAAUAAAAAGUUCUGAGGACAUAGCUCAGCGGGCCCAACCCCCAAUACUGCCAGAAACCCUAAAACAACAACAACAACAACAAUAACAAAACUGGAGUGAAACCGCAAACCUUUCUGCCCUGUCGCCUUGUCAUUGACACUAACUCCUAUCAAGCUUCGUAUUGUGUAUUGUGUACGAGAUGUGCUCGCAUCUGCUGAUCUUCUGAAACUAUCUUUUCACAUGAGUCUUGCUUAAAAAGACAUUUCACCAAGAGGGAGGCAAUAAAGAUAAAACUUGAAGUAAAAGAAACAGCAAUUUUUUUUUUUUUUGUACCAGCGAUUGAACUCGGGUCCUUGCACUUGCACAGCAGGCGGCGAAACCACUGAGCUAAAUCCCUGGCGCAAAAGGACGAUUUUUUUAAAAAUGAGCAGAAACACAGCAAGGGCAGUGAGGGAAGAGAACAGAGACAGCGAGCAGAACUGCGGAGUGGUGACCCGGGAGUUGAAAGCCCAGAGGACUCCCUGCCUGCACUGACUCACUGUGGGACUCGGGGCUGAUGGUUUCUCUCUGGGUCUCAAUUUCUCUAUCUUCAAGAUGAAGGCACUGAACCAUAGAUCUACAGAAUUUUAUUGUAACUGACGGAAAGCUCAGCACACAUUGGCUUGAACAGCCAAGUCCUGGGUGGGACUGGCUUCAGGUUCAGCAGGCUCCAGCGGCUCAUGGUGCUGUCCGUCUGCUGCCUUUUUGCUUGCUUCUCUAUAUAUCUAGCUCUCUCUCUCUCUCUCUCUCUCUCUUUCUCUCUGGCUGUCCUUCAAGGGAGCAGGUAGACAUUGCUUUAAAGAUGGGGAGUCCCCAAACAGAAGAGGUUCAAAUGUCACUGGGAGGAAGGAGACGCUGAUAAGCUAGAGCAAUGAACAUUCCUGCUCUUAAAAAAAGAUUUCUGGUUUUUGAUGUUUCUGCAGGGAGAGGAGUUUAUCAGAUCUGUCACCAGCCCAUGGGCAGUUUUCAGCUACUCACUUUGCAGCCCUUGAGGGGCUUGCAGGGAGUUGCUUGACCAGGUCCUUUGGCUGCAUAAGGGCCGUGCCUUCUUCAAACCCCAUAGCACCCUUUGAAAGGCCAGGGGCACCCUGGGUUUGCAGAAGGGACUGGUAGCUGUGUUGUCACAUGCACGCCCAGGUUGCCAGCCUCUCCAGAAACUCAGAACUCUCUGGUAGCUUUGGAAUCAAAUUCCUGGACCGCCUCCCCGUGGGAAUGAGGUCUGUUCACUGUGGUGCCCACUCCUCGUGAAUCCAGGAGAGGAUGCCCCUUGAAUCCAGUGUCCCUUGCCACUUGUCAUCAAGUCUGUGCUCACGUGGGGUUGGGAGGAAGGUAAAUGUUCCUUGGGCUUUCUACUGUGGGCCCUGCAUCUCUUCGCUGGUGACCUGGCUUCUGCCUUAGGCGGUAAGCGUGUGUGACUUCUGCCAUAAAGGAGGCAGGGAAGAGGGGUGAAGAGGCACUCUGUAUACUCCCUGAACACUGAUAGGGCACCUGCUAUGUGCAAGUGCCCCCAGCACCGGGAGAGACACAAGCCUUCUGUCGGGUGAGCUCCAGUGAAGGACUCAGGUCCUCGAGAGGGUCAGCACAAAGGUGAAACACACCACAGCGGUGACCAGAGACCCAUCGACUAAAAACCAGGCCUCAAGAUAAAGACAAGAGGACCAGACCUACAUACUUCCUCAAAGAACAAACACUGGGCCUAAUGAAGUCUAGAUAGACAUCAGCCACCCUGGUGGGUGACCAGAGAUCUGUGAACCCCCCACUUCCUAGGAGAAUCUUUGUUCUUUCCAUCUACGCUUCUUAGGUGGCUUGUUUCCCAAUUGAACCACCAUUACCUAAGUGCCUACACUUGUAACCUGAUUGGAUGUUCAUGGAUGUGUCCCACGUUGUACGUACGUGGGUUUCACCCUAUAAAACUCCUCUGUAAAGCAGGGUCCCGGGCUACCCACUUGGGGGUAGCCUGCCCCUCGGGAGCUCUCCUAUCCAUAAAUACCUUCUACUCUUAACCCCUGUUGUUCCUAGAACUCAUCGAUUUCUAGAGAACAACAAGAGCUCAGUGUAUCAUACAGCUAACAGGUUGGGAGAUGUAAUAUUUCAUAUUUCAUCUCUGGUAUUAUUUUUUGUAACAGUUGGGGGAAUCAGUUAAUUAAAAUUAUAGCUGACAGAUUAUUCAAUUGUCAGUGUGAAGCCUCCAACAAUUCGUUAAUUGUGACCUCAGGAAUUUAGAGCUCUGCUCCUCGACACGAACUCCAGCAUGAGCAGCACCAGCAGCAGCAGCCUUGGGGAACAGGUUACCAGCCUGGAGUCUUGGGCUCUAUGCAUCUUAAAGCAAGGGAGAAAGGGCUGCUCCCAGGUCCCUGAGCUCGGCUGAGACCUGCGCCGUGCAGACACGUGCAGCAUCCCAUCCCGGCUUGGUCGGGGAUUACCUGGGGGUCUCUGGGCAAGUGAGUCGUGGUCUUCUCAGUGAGGGGAGAGCAGAAGAGGCUGCUCCGUGGGAAGGGGACAUGCAGGAGGUAGUAUAGUCCAGUAGAUGCCACACGCAGGAGCAAAUGCUAGCUUCCAGGGAGCCAGGACCUCUGAGUCAGCUCUUGAAGGAGGAGUGGAAAGGGGCUCCCUCUAAAGCUGAACCAAAGACAGUUAAUGCUCAAAACCAAAACAGGCUUUUUCUGAGAGAAGAAAUAACAGCUGCGAUGGGAAUAAACAAAACCGCAGCUUCCUCUCACUGUUUGCAAGGCUCUGGAAUUCCGCUGUGAUGUCAGCCUUCUCUGAACGGUGUGCGUGUGUCUGUCUUUCUGUGUUUUCCAUUUGGAGCUGCGGCUAUGACCACAUAUGUUUAAGACCAAUAGAGGAUGUUGAGUCUCCAAAAACACCCCAGGAGGAGAGAGUGCAAGGAACCCAGAGCGCCUGCACGGUGAAGGGUUUGCACAGGAACGAGAAUUACAGGAUUUUCAAGCGCCAGUGUGAGUGAGCAUAUUCCUGCCCCUCUAUUCCCUGUCGGGGCUUGAGGACCUCAUCAUCUGGCCUUGGCCAGGUGGGGUGCACAGAGGUGCCGGCUCGGACAUGCCCCCCCUGCUGUGCCAGGCACCCCGUGGGGAAACUGGGCUUCCAUUUGGGCAGAUGAAGUGAGAGUUCUGGGGGAUGAAGAUGAGGUCCCCACCUUCUCUUUGUCGCCUUGGAGACACACACUGUGGGAUGUGCAGGAGAUGUGUGCCAUGGAAACUCCUGAUGGUAACUGAGAUGGAUCUGUGCCCCAGGCUUCACGCAGGGAAGUUGAAUUAUGGGAGUUGAAUUAACGUUGGACUCCUCAGAACAACCAUGGGAGUGAGGAGCAAAGAUGGCUUCUCUGGGGGUCCUGGGCUGAGGGGCCUAGGAAGCUCCUUUGGUGCCUGCCCAGUGAGUGGCCCCAGUCCACCCUUAGGACCAUUCUACUGUACGUAUGGAGCACCUGCUGUGUGCCAGGCCCAGGUGGGCUCAGUGGAACAUGACAAAAGAGUUCUUCCACCCACGCUACCACCAUCGUGAGUUCCGGUUCGAUUUAUCCAAGAUCCCGGAAGGGGGAAGCUGUGACUGCAGCUGAGUUCCGGAUCUAUAAGGACUAAGCAUCCGGGCAACGCUUUGAUAAUGAGACCUUCCGGAUCAGCGUCUACCAGGUGCUCCAGGAGCACUUGGGCAGGGAGUCAGACCUCUUUCUACUCGACAGCCGCACCCUCUGGGCCUCCGAGGAGGGCUGGCUGGUGUUCGACAUCACGGCCACGAGCAACCACUGGGUGGUCAACCCUCGGCACAACCUGGGCCUGCAACUUUCAGUGGAGACUCUGGAUGGGCAGAGCGUGAACCCUUAAGCUGGCGGGCCUGAUCGGGCGGCAUGGACCCCAGAACAAGCAGCCCUUCAUGGUGGCCUUCUUCAAGGCCACGGAGGUGCACUCCUCCGCAGCGUGCGGUCCACGGGGGGCAAGCAGCGCAGCCAGAAUCGCUCCAAGACGCCCAAGAACCAGGAGGCGCUGAGGAUGUCCAGCGUGCCAGAGAACAGCAGCAGCGACCAGAGGCAGGCCUGUAAGAAGCCUGAGCUGUCACGUCAGCUUCCGAGACCUGGGCUGGCAGGACUGGAUCAUUGCGCCUGAGGGGCUAUGCCGCCUACUACUGCGAAGGGGGAGUGCGCCUUCCCCUCUGAACUCCCUACAUGAACGCCACCAACCACGCCAUCGUGCAGACACUGGUGGGUGCAGUUGGCGGGGUGCAGGCUGCAUGGCCACAGAGCCUGCCUCCUUCUGGCCUGGUGCUGCCUCCAAGCUGGGGCCUGAGUGGGCAUCUGCCCGAGCCCACAUCACGACUUGUGAGCCCGGUGCUCCAUAAGAGGGGCAUUAAAAAUUACACUUUGUGACAGCUGUAAAGAUGAGUAUAGCCUUUGACCCUAAAGUUUGUUUUUCCUUUUUUUUUGGUACCUUGUUUUUUGGCAGUCCUGGGAUUGAACCUAAGCCUUCACACUGAACUAUACCAACUUUUUUAUGACUUUUUUGUUGUUGUUUUUUUGUUUAAUUUUGAGACAGGUUCUUACUGUGUUGCCCAGGCUGGGCUGGAACUUGCCACCGCCCUGCCUCAGCCUCCCAGAGUGCUGGGAUCACAGCCAUGAGUCACUGUGUCUGACUUCUAAUUUUUACAAUGAAGCACGUUCCUGGGCUCCUGGAGUAGCAUGGGCUCUGGUCACUGGUGCUAACUGAGCAGUGACCUCUGCACUGCCUGUGACUUGUGUCCGCAGGUGUUAGGCUCUGUGUUCUGUUGAGACCCGGACCUGUCUGCACCCCCCACCUCACCCUGGCCUACUCCUCUCUCUGCCUUCUGGGACGGGUAAACGUUCUUGUUCGUCACGGCCCGUGGCCCUCCUCAGGCUUCCGUGUAUUUGGUUGGCAGAGCCAGUGUGCUAGAAAAAGCAGGAGUUUCCUGUCAGAAGCCGGCCACGCGCUGACCCUCUGGCCUGUCCUGAGCCCUCAGCUCCUGUGAGGACAUUGGCCAUGGUCUGCCGGCCCGUGGUCACCUUAGGUAGGAGUGGCAGCCUCUCCCGUGGUUUGCCUCAAUCCGCCUUCAUCCCUUGUGUUUACUCCUGGCCUACUUUGCUUUCAAAGGCACUCUGGUGGCAUCCAAGUCCCUGUCUCAGAAUUUUAAACAGCUAGAAAGGGUUGGGGAUGUAGCUCAGUGUAAAGGUGCAGGUUCAGUCCCCAGUGCUGCAAAACAAAUAAACAAAGCCCCUUUACUGUCUUCAUCUGCAAAAUGGGAGUGGUCCCAAACUGCGCUGGUACAUGCGCCCAGGACCCAGAGGGCUCCAGAACGUAUCACUUGGGAUGAUUUUGCCCAGGCAGGGGAUGUCCCUUAGAGAAACACAGAGGCCAGGCCAGAGGGCCUGCUCCCCAUCUCACCAGUCUCCGUUCAUGCGUCGCAGGUCCACUUCAUCAACCCGGACACCGUGCCCAAGCCCUGCUGUGCUCCUACCCAGCUCAAUGCCAUCUCUGUCCUCUACUUCGGACUGACAGCUCCAAUGUCAUCCUAAAGAAAUACAGAAACAUGGUGGUCCGGGCCUGUGGCUGCCACUAGCCCCUGAUGGAAGUCCUGCCCUUGGGGUCACGUUUAUUUGAGUCUGCACUGUGGCACUGCCCAGCAUCUCCGCCGCCCACCUUGGCAAGGAACCAGCAGACUGAUCAUCUUCUCCGGGGGCCUCCCUGUCCCUCCCCAGUUUUACAGGUCUAAGAGUGCUAGGAAUUGGAGCACCAAGUGGCUUUUGAUCCAUUUUUCAUCGGUGGCACCCUAAGGACAAGAUCCUGAGCUACUACAGGCAAAAUCUGGCAGGAAACACAUCUGUGAGGAAAGAUCACUCAGCCGCGGUCAUCAGCUGUACUGUCCCCGCCACACCCUGACUUGUUCCAGAGAUGAUUAGGACGCCCUUCAGCCAGGUGACCAGCCACCAGCUGCAGGAGGAGGGACAUGGCCAGGGUGGGCACCUGUGUCUGUGCUGAAGGGAAACAUGCAGAAUUCUUUGUAAUAAAUGUCACAAUAAAACCAAUGAAUGAAAAUGGUUAGGAUGUUACAGGUAUAUUUUCCUAAACGAUUUAUCCCUGCUUCUGGGUUUAUUCUGACUUUAUGAACAGCAGCGGUGGCCGGUGGAGGGCAAGGAGCCCCUUCUGUUCUGUUCCGGUGUCAGCUUGAGGCUGCAGGGCCUGUGUUCACCCAGAUCCCACUGCAGGGGCCGGCGGUGUGAAUGUAUGCUGGAGGGGCUCCCUGUCACCCUUCUGCAGGUGUGUGCUGGCAGAAGUGAGGCGUGACAGGACGGGAUGGGUCCUCCGGCCUCCCCUGCUGUAGGGAGCAGUUUGAAGUAGUGGAAUAGACAAGGACAGACAAUAGUAUGGCGCUUGCGACUUCAGCGUGGUGUUAACACAGAAGAAACGUAACUGUCACCGGCUUCUCCGAGCAGGGCCCUUGGCGUCUCCUCUCGGACGAUGCCCCGACUAGGGUCCUGCCAGGGGCAUUGAGGCUGCCUCCUUUUGCUUCUUGACCCCUAGCAGAGAGCUCUGCAGACAGAUUUGCUGCUUGAAGUAAGAGACAGGCCAGUGGGAAGGCUGAUGGGCACAGGGCAUGCUGGACUCGAGUCGCAAACAGAAGGAUCUAGAUCAGUGGUGGCGAACCUUUUAGGGACGGACUCCCCAACUGCAACCCAAGACCUGCUUAUUUAUCGAAAAGUGCCAACACUGCCGUUAUACCCGGACACUGAAGUUUUAGUUCAGAAAAACCAACUCAGACGCUUGGCUAUGGCGUGCUGACAGAGGGCUGUGUGUGCGCCGCUGCCACCCGCCUGCCAUAGGUUCGCCACCACUGAUCCAGAGAGCGACCUCCUAAACGAAUGCCCUGAUUUGGGGUGGCGGUAUCUGUGCUGCAGCUCUGGUGCCAGCCCCCUUGGCUCUGCUGCUCACCCCGUAAAGGGGUGUGUGUACCAGCCCCCAGCUGUAAGCGCAAGGCCUAGGGAGGGGCUGGGCUGCCCUGGGACACUUCCCACAUCUGCUCAAAGAACACAGCUCAUUUCCCAGGCACGACCCGGGCCGGGGGAACCUGGCCCUGGGGAAGCUGUUCUCCAGCUCCAUCAAGUCAGUUCCUAGAACCACACUGGCUUAGCUUUUGUUCUCUGUUCUUUUUCUUCUUUAGUAGCUUGGGCUGCAGCUCUCACUACCUGGCUGCUGAGGGAUGAGAAUUUUUGUUAGAAUUGUUCUGUUGUUGGCAGAUCUGGGGCUCUCUGUGGGACUCCUGCUUGGUGUGAGUUUUUCCACUACUUUAGUGCCCCCCGCCGGCCUCUUUUGCGCAUUGUUUGUGCAUUAAAACAUGUAAAUAGUUGUGAUGACAGAGAUUAUUUAUUUCCAUCUGAAGCUCUUUUGCAAACCCUCCUUUCAUCCCUUGUUCAGAACAACGAGCUUGCUUUCCUCCAACCUGUUUGUUUUCUUAUUUAAGAUUAUUUAUUGAUGAUUGGACCGAUGUACCCAUGGCUGUCGCAUAGAGCAGCCCUUAGUGACAAUUCUGUAUAAAUAAACACAAUAAAAAAGGGUUUUGACUUUGCAAUAAAAGGAGUCAUUUGGUUCUGGU
RNAcentral lists this long non-coding RNA (10377 nucleotides) under Heterocephalus glaber (naked mole-rat). RNAcentral describes it as "lncRNA (ENSHGLG00000045618.1)". The record is from RNAcentral. Lineage: Eukaryota; Metazoa; Chordata; Mammalia; Rodentia; Bathyergidae.